UAGAGACAAGCGUUUCCGGAUUAUUGGGUUUAAAGGGUGCGUAGGCGGUCCUAUAAGUAGUGGUGAAAGACGGCAGCUUAACUGUCGCAGUGCCUUUGAUACUGUAGGACUUGAAUCUAUUUGAAGUGGGCGGAAUAAGACAAGUAGCGGUGAAAUGCAUAGAUAUGUCUUAGAACUCCGAUUGCGAAGGCAGCUCACUAAGUUAGUAUUGACGCUGAUGCACGAAAGCGUGGGGAUCAAACAGGAUUAGAUACCCUGGUAGUCCACGCCCUAAACGAUGAUAACUCGAUGUUUGCGAUACACAGUAAGCGUCCAAGCGAAAGCGUUAAGUUAUCCACCUGGGGAGUACGGUCGCAAGAUUGAAACUCAA
Molecule: ribosomal RNA, 370 nt
Filed under: uncultured Bacteroidota bacterium
Lineage: Bacteria; Pseudomonadati; Bacteroidota
Description: bacterial SSU rRNA
Rfam family: Bacterial small subunit ribosomal RNA
Source: RNAcentral